GGCCCCGUAGCUCAGCGGAUAGAGCAGGCGCUCCGUAAGCGUCGCUGUCGUGGGUUCGAGUCCCACCGGGGCCG
Molecule: transfer RNA, 74 nt
Filed under: Actinomycetota bacterium
Lineage: Bacteria; Bacillati; Actinomycetota
Description: tRNA-Thr
Rfam family: tRNA
About the family: Transfer RNA (tRNA) molecules are approximately 80 nucleotides in length.
Source: RNAcentral